UGGCACUCACUAUUUGCUCGUUUAGGUUCACAUUCGCAUCAACAUGCAAGUGAUAAAGACUGUCAAUUAAAAGACCUCAUGCAAUUAAUUUAUUUCAUAAAUAAAUAGAACAAAAGUCUUUAUUGAAACAAAUUUCAAAACUUUCCUGUGCUAACACAGAUAUAGAAAUUAAAUUUCGACUAGCUAUAGGACAUAAUAACAGUCUUUUAAAUCUAAUCUAACAUCAGACG
RNAcentral lists this long non-coding RNA (230 nucleotides) under Elaeis guineensis (African oil palm). RNAcentral's name for it is "long non-coding RNA (EGUI_LNC077720)". Lineage: Eukaryota; Viridiplantae; Streptophyta; Magnoliopsida; Arecales; Arecaceae. The record is from RNAcentral.